This 429-nucleotide ribosomal RNA is filed under the name Chloroflexota bacterium. RNAcentral describes it as "Chloroflexi bacterium partial 16S ribosomal RNA". It matches the Rfam family "Bacterial small subunit ribosomal RNA", at positions 355 to 776 of the family's 1533-position model. Lineage: Bacteria; Bacillati; Chloroflexota. The record is from RNAcentral.
UGGGGAAUAUUGCACAAUGGGCGCAAGCCUGAUGCAGCCAUGCCGCGUGUAUGAAGAAGGCCUUCGGGUUGUAAAGUACUUUCAGCGGGGAGGAAGGGAGUAAAGUUAAUACCUUUGCUCAUUGACGUUACCCGCAGAAGAAGCACCGGCUAACUCCGUGCCAGCAGCCGCGGUAAUACGGAGGGUGCAAGCGUUAAUCGGAAUUACUGGGCGUAAAGCGCACGCAGGCGGUUUGUUAAGUCAGAUGUGAAAUCCCCGGGCUCAACCUGGGAACUGCAUCCGAUACUGGCAAGCUUGAGUCUCGUAGAAGGGGGUAGAAUUCCAGGUGUAGCGGUGAAAUGCGUAGAGAUCUGGAGGAAUACCGGUGGCGAAGGCGGCCCCCUGGACGAAGACUGACGCUCAGGUGCGAAAGCGUGGGGAGCAAACAGG